This is an RNA transcript of Dunckerocampus dactyliophorus (ringed pipefish), 2891 nucleotides long. It is a transcript of the gene named atrial natriuretic peptide-converting enzyme-like, with no coding region annotated. The transcript has 13 exons. The record is from RefSeq and is a predicted model, not a curated record. Lineage: Eukaryota; Metazoa; Chordata; Actinopteri; Syngnathiformes; Syngnathidae.
UAGCAGCUAUUCAGCUGGUGUUGAACAACAAUAUUGACAAAGCCGCCAUGUUUGCAGACUUUGGAUUUCUGAGCAGCCCCUUUGGAGAGGCGCUCCUCCAAAAUCUCAGCAAGUUGUUUGAGAUGGCCAUGCAGCGUUUGGUCCUUGCGGCGUUGGCUUUCCUACUGUGUCCCCAUGAGACGCACAACGUGAGAGACGAGCCCCCGAGCUGCAAGCCGCUGACCGCCUCUUACUGCCAAAAUGUAGGCUACAGUACCAGCCGUCACCCUGGCGGAGUGCAAGGCUUCAACCUGCAGCAGUUGAGUCAGGUUGUGGAGACGACCUGCUCGCCCCAAGUGGCUGCACUCGUGUGUCGCCUGGCCUUCCCACCGUGCGGCAGCAACUCAGAAGACGACGCCCGCAUGAAGCCAUGCCGAGCUUUCUGCGCGAAGGUCAAGGCCGAGUGUGAGGCCAUCCUCAAAGCCCAGCGCCUGACGUGGCCCAGCAAGCUGCAGUGUGACACGCUACCCGAGUCCAACUGUGUGCAGCAAUCUGAUACUGGCCCAACUUGUCAGAGUAUCACAGUCCCUAUGUGCAAAGACGUUUCGUACACCCAGACUGUCAUGCCAAACUCUCUGGGCCAUAGGAGGCAGGAGGACGCGGGCCUGGAGGUGCACCAGUUCUUCCCACUGGUCAAAGUAGAGUGCUCGCCCCAGCUGAAGCCCUUCCUGUGCUCCGUCUACAUUCCAGAGUGCAUGGCGGGAAAGGCCCGGGCCCCAUGCAGAACUCAGUGUGAGGAGGCUCGGUCCGGCUGUGAGCCGCUGAUGAGACGGUUUGGUUUCCAUUGGCCGGACAGUCUCAGAUGUGAAGACUUUUCAACAUAUUCAUGUGAAAAGGAUCAUGGCUCCAGUGUGACAUCAGCAGGAUCGUGUCAGAGCAUCACCAUUCCUUUCUGCAAAGAUCUUCCUUACACUGAAACCAUCAUGCCCAACGCUCUGGGACACAAGACUCAGCAGGAGGCCACUCUGUACUUCAGUACCUUCUAUACGCUGGUCCACACGGACUGCUCCCCUCACCUGAAGACCUUCCUGUGCUCCGUCUUCACUCCCGAGUGCGUGGCGGGAAUUGCCAGGCCUCCCUGCAGAACCUUGUGUGAGCAGGCCCGGUCAGGCUGUGAGCCUGUGCUGAAGCAGUUUGGUUUAAGUUGGCCGGAAACGCUCGGGUGUGAGGCCUUUUCCACAGCAUCAUGCCAGCACUACGCCGCGUCCAGCGGUGGCACCUGUGAGCCCCUCACCAUUCAGAUGUGUCAGGGUCUGUCCUACAACCAGACCAUCACACCCAACCUGCUGGGCCACGCCAGCCAGCGAGAGGCCGCCUUCAAGAUGUCUUUAUUCAACAUGAUCGUACAAAACGCGUGCUCGGCCAACAUACGCCACUUCCUGUGCAUGGCGUACGCCCCCCAGUGCGUGGCAGGCCAAAUGAGGCGGCCCUGCAAGUCAUUCUGCGAGAAGGCCCACAAGAGCUGCGAGGGUCCGAUGAGCAGCUACGGCAUCCCGUGGCCGGCCGAGCUGAACUGCGACGCCUUCCCGCAGGACAUGUGUGUCGCUGACGACAGCAGGCCAGAGAUGCUGGACGCUGACGGUGUUCUGGCCAAGUUGCAGGCUGGAGGGUACUCUGUUCGUGGCAAAUUGCUGACUCUCAGGACGGCCCGCAUGCUGGUGAAACUCGCUGAUGCAGACAAAUCUGGAGACCUGGAUGUGGUGGAAUUCUUCAAAUUGGAGCAUGACGUGGCUGUUACCAGGAGGGAAUAUGUGGAGAGCUAUGAGAGGGAGACGCCACCUUCUGUCACACAAGCUCAAAUGAGAGAGGCUCUGACUUCACGGGAAUUGAACCUGAAUAAGGAAACCUUCACGACGCUGUGGCUGGAAUACAGCAGUCACGACAAGAUUGAGUACGACGAUUAUGUCACUUUGCUGACCAAACUUCAGAUCCUCAAAGUCUCUCUUUUGCAACCUGCUGAUGACACUCUGUGACUGGCAAUGGUGAGGUACUGUUGAUCAACUAUCAGCCAAAAUGAAAAUGAAAUUUCACCCGAAAGCGGAACAUCCCUACCUUUUUAUCGCUUCCAGUCUCACCUCCUCAGUUUGCCGUGCGACUGCCAGGUGGCCACCUUCUCCUUCAAACAGUUCAUCGAGGCUGCUGUAGUGUGAAGACCAAACAGGACAUCGUGAACAGGCAUGUGAGGACCAAAGUUUAUUAGCACCUUUCCUCUUAUUCGUGACACAGUUUCAUUGUGUUUUUCUUUUUAAUCUCUCUUACACAAUUAAAGGAGUAUACAGUAUAUGCUGUCUAUGAUAAACAUGGUGUGUAAAUACAUGGAAUACAGUAUAUGUAAGCGCUACUGUUAACUCAGUGACUUGUAUGAAAAUGUUACCUGGAAUGACAAAUAUUCAUUGUACAGUGGAACCCCUGAAGUCAAACACCGCUGUUGUAACAUGCUGGUUGAGUUAGAAACGUUUUUUUUUCUCAAGUUAAUCCGUUCUGGGGUCAGUCACCAUCACAAAACCUUUAUUAACUACGCAGGCAAUUUAACUUGUAAAAUGCUCAACUGUCACAUAAGUAGAAAAAGAAGUUAAACACUGAAUAAAGAAAAAUGCCUGACUAAUGCGUGCUGGAGAGGGAUGCUGAAGGCUGCUGAAGGUCGACUUCAUGUUAAAAUAUUUAAUUAUGCUUCGGGAACUUAAGCAAAGCAAUGCUGUCACCGAGUGGUCUUUUACUACUGGUACUGCUGGAUGUAACAUUCAGGAAGCUAUGCUGUAUGUUGAACUUUUAUUUUGUGGUGCGCAACAAUGUUGAUAGGGAAAUUGAAUAAAAUGCCUGCUUUAGUUCAGUAAAAAAAACAACAACAACAA